Molecule: unclassified non-coding RNA, 771 nt
Filed under: Hevea brasiliensis (rubber tree)
Lineage: Eukaryota; Viridiplantae; Streptophyta; Magnoliopsida; Malpighiales; Euphorbiaceae
Source: RNAcentral
AGAGGAGGAUUAUCAGGCGCCAGAGCCUCCGCAACAAAUUGUGGUCCAAGAGCUGAACCUCCGAUCCCAACAGAGAGAAUUUGAGUAAAACGGCCUUCUGGCGAAGAUGGUGGCUUAAUCUUACCACUGACGACUUCAUCAGCGAACUUGCAAACGGCAUCAAGUGUCUGGUCAAUCUGCGUUUUCAAAAAAGAGUUUGGAGCGAGGCUCGAAUUCCUCAACCAAUAAUGCCCGACCAUCCUCCCUUCAUCAGGAUUCGCAAUCGCGCCCUUCUCCAGCUUCUCCAUAUCCUUAAAAGCCUUCUGUAAUCGGGGCUCCAUCUCCGCCACAAACUCGUCUGUGAACCCGAUCCGGCUAACGUCCAAACACAGCCCUAGCUCCUUGUGUUGGUACAGCCAAUCAACGUAUCGCCUCCAUAGAGCGCUAGGAUCUUUCUCCAAUCCUUGUUUCGGCUUGCUCAGCAACUUGUCAUUUGUCUUGGAUAAACCGGUGGAUAUCUCGCGCGCAACGGACUGAAUUGGCUCAAGUCGGUAGCGAGUUGCAAAUGUGAGUGAGGUCCUGAGCGGCCGCGAAUUGAUAGUGGUUUUGAGAAGAGGAGUUUUAGGCUUGAGAGAAGGGGAAGAGGAACAGAGACCGGAGAGGGAAGCCAUUGGAAAUCGACGUCGGCGAUGACUAUGACAGGGGGAAGGAAAAGAGAAGUUACUUCAUAGCUGGCAAUAUUUUUGGCGAAAUCGGGAAUGUGGUUUUUGGCGUCGGGAUUUUUUGUCCUUG